RNAcentral lists this long non-coding RNA (5623 nucleotides) under Cucumis sativus (cucumber). RNAcentral describes it as "long non-coding RNA (CSAT_LNC002568)". The record is from RNAcentral. Lineage: Eukaryota; Viridiplantae; Streptophyta; Magnoliopsida; Cucurbitales; Cucurbitaceae.
UUGAAAAGUCUUUUAGUGUGAAGAAAAGGAAAGAUGACUUCUCUGGCAUCUCACUUCCUCAGUCAGCAGCUUCAUUUUACAAUGGGUGGUCGCCAGUGAUGGAAGUUUCUGAAUCAUGUGAAAGCAUAGAACAGCUCAAUGUUUAUCUGAAAUCCAAAAGGGAUGAUGUUAAUGCAGGGGUCCCUGGAAGAUUUCUGCAUGUUGUGAUAGGAAAAGAUGUUUCAGGUGAUACUUUCGACUGACUCUUAUUUUACUAUUCUUUGUAGAUCUCUUAAUGUCUAUGAUAUACUUUAGGACAUCCUAUGUGCUAACUUUCUUUCUAAUCUUAAUUCAUCUGAAGUUUUGCAUGCAUUUCUUUUAUAUGAUAAUGUUGGUAUACCUUGAUGGUAUUAUGGAGACUUUGAAGAUAUUCAACUAUAGGUUUCUCAAUGGUGCUUUGUGAUUUAACUUGAUUAUGAUUUUGAUGGUUUCAAACUGUUUGGUUGAUUAAUUUGUUGAAAAUAAAAACAUCACUGUGCAGCAAAUUGACCUGAUGGAAGAACAAAAACCUACUCUUUAUUUAUGUGUACUAGUUCAGUGUAAAUUGAAAGGAAACUUGAGUUCUGUUUAUUUCAUUUCAAGACAGGAAAUAGAAAUCACCUAACUUUUAUAUAGAUUUCUUUUGGCUACCUAAUUUAGUGGAAAAACUUUUAAAAUAGAUGAUACAAAUGAGAUGGUAAAAAUUAACUUCGGAAAAUGGGAAAUUGGGUUAACGUUGAGUUUUGUAAGUUAAAAUAAAAUAAAAUCUGUAGGUACCGCCAUUUCUUUCUACAUCUAACUUCAAGAGCUUCUCUUAAUCUGUCUGCUUGGAUGUGUCGCUAUUUCAGCAAUGCUAAAUAGCCCAAUUUCUUUGUAUAUAUGAGAGAUACAGCAGCACCAAUUUUUCUUUUUGUCUGUUGUACCUGAGACCAUACAAAUAGCUAAUUGAAGAUCAUAUUGAAGAACACAAUGAUUAAUACAACUUCAUAUAAAUCAUGAUAUCUUUUUAUUCAUCUCUAAAAAAGCUCGUUACACUUACCAAAUAAUUUUGAAGAUUGCUUUACUGAAUUUUCUAUUUGUUUAUUUCAAAAACUCCAGUAGAUUUCAGAUAGAACCUAAUAUAGAUCUAAUUUAUUUUCUGGCUUCAUACAGAUAUUGGGUCAGUUGUGUCUACUAUCAUGUAUGCUUUCUACUUGAAUGAGACACGCAAAUAUGAUGAGUUUUGCACUGUACCUGUUAUCAACAUGAAGAGAACGGACCUAAAUUCUCAUUCUGAACUUAAAUGGCUGCUUGAUUCCUGUCAGAUCGAUACGUCAUCUUUGAUUUUUGUAGACGAGGUUUAGUCCUUUGCAAUCUUUCUGAAGAUUAUUAUCCGGUUUUCAUUUAUUUUUAAUGUUAUUUAUUUAUGAUACUCUUAACUCUACAAUGAAGGCUAUGAUAACUUGAGAAAGGUGUUAGUUAAUACGUGUCUUUUCAAUUUUGUUUCCUAGUUUGUUACAAUUUCAAUAUAUUCUAUUUUACUAACUAGAAAGAAUGCCCCUAUCAGCCUGAAACCACCCCGCAAAUAUAUAUAUUUUUUAUUUAAUUUUUUCUCAACAGUAUCUCAAAGCUACUUUGAUUUUUUCAACAGUUAUUUUUUAUUUUUUCUUUAAGAGUGAAAUCCAGUUUCAAUCAAUCUAUCUAUCUUUACAUAACAUGAUGUAAGCUCUAUGACCAUCCAAUAUUGGUUUAUAUGAAUAAGCUUAUGCUGUACGUAAGCAUGAAAGGUGUAACCAAUGAUCUAGUAAACAAUAUAUGCUAGCAGAUAUGUUCUUUGAGCUUUGAUUCAGAAGUGUCACUGAUUUUAAUAUGGUCUACAAAAUAUUUUCCCAGAUCGACCUAUCAUAUUAUGAAUUAUUUGGAAGUCUUAAGGUAGUUCUACUGAACAGCUCCAAACUUCCUGCUAAACAAGAGGUAAGCUUUACAUUUGGCAACGGUUUGACAACUUUGUUUCCGAAAAAUCUGUUGGUUACCAAUACUUAUGAAAUGUCCAUUUCUUUUUUUCUUACAACAGCAAGCACUAAAAGAGGCUGUUGUUGAAAUCUUUAACUGUAAUAAGGUGCGCAGAAUCAUUUCUUUUGGUUACAAUUGAAGGAUUUUAGCUACUUCCAAACAUCUCGAAAUCACGAGAAACUAACCAUUCAUAUAUUUUCCUUUUAUCUUACAGGAUGAAUCUAUAUAUCCUUGGGUCGAGAAUAUUACAAUCCAACAGGUUUGGCAUUUGUAUAGUUUUAUGAUUUUUUUUUCUUCGCCUCAUAUUUCUACCUAAAGUUAUCAAGUCCAUCGAAUAGAACAUUUGUUCAGACACGUCAUGCCACUAAAAAAAAUAAAGAGUAGUAAAGAACACACACGGAACACGAAGGCAUUGAAAGGUCUUAGAUGAUAUAAUUAGAUUUACCAAUAUCUUAAGCUUUCGGGUCAAUCGCCGAUUUAAGAUGAUAUUAGAGUAGGUUGGUUCGAGAGGUCCUUUGUUGAAACCCAAGCUUUCAACUGUAUGAGUUCGUUUAGUUCCUUUGGUGAAAACUGGCCUAGUAAACAGUCUUCUGAAAUUAUGGUUCACUAUAUUUCUUAGCUGAGAUCACUUUUGUAAAACAGGGCUGUUCAUGCUGCACUCUAAUUGCCGAGAAGUUUGCUCAAAUUUCACCCGAGAUUCUGGCUGGGAAAGGAUUCAGUAGACUUUUGGUACUUACUACUUGCGACAAUUACUUUUGACUUCAUCCAUGCAUGUAUAUUUUGAAGGCCUGAUCCAAAAACUUUUGGGAGAGCUGUUUUCUUCCAUGUGCAAUUCCCAUCAACAUUAGAUACAAAGCUGAUCCCCUAGCUAGUUCUGCGUGUAUUUUACACUUACCUCAACCUCAGCUUUUAAAUAUUCGUCUUCUCGUAGUGUUAUCUUACAUUCUCUACUGUUAUGGAAGGAAGUUCAUACAUCUGUGCACACACUUACAUUUAAUUCCACAUACGAAACUGGAAUUGGAGAGUGAAAAUCAUGCUCUCAUAUUCCAUUUCACAUUGAUUCCUAAAGUAGUUAAGGAAUGGAAAUAAUUCCCAGGACCCACCAAAAUUUCUAACCAUUCUCGUCGAUUCAUUUCUCUUGGUAAGGAAAACAAUGUAUUUUCCAUUCCAGCAAGUCCCAUAAUUUAUUUAUUAUUUUUUUUUUCUUUCUAUGUGUGGUCCCAGAUUAAUUGAAUUUAAUAUUCAUUUGAAGCAUCAGUAAAUAAUAACAUUUGUUGCCUUCUUCAUUCCAAUUCCAAUUCCAAAAAAAAUAUGUUAUAUACAAUAUUUGACAUUUCAUUUCCAUUCAGACAACUCUGCGUUCUUCUUUAUUCCCACUCCCAUUUCAUAGAUGGUGUCUUGUUCUGCCCCCCUAAAUGUUUCUAUGAUCAUGAAGCAUAAAAACUAUGCAGAAUUUGAAAAGCUUCCAACAAUUUUCAAUUUUUUUUAUAACUUGACUUUAACUUUAGAAGUAUUACACGCUUGGACAUCUUUCUUCCUUCAAAGUUUUCCUUCUUGAUAUACUUGAGGUUAGCUUCAGAGUUGAUUGUUUUCCUAGUUCUGUAGGUUUCUCGUUUUCCUUUUCUAAAACGAACUCUUUUGGUGUGUUUUCUUUUCCUUGCAGCUAGCUGGAAUUCUAUUAGAUUCAGGAAACCUAACUAGCCCAAAUUGUACGUCCAAAGAUAAGUACAUGGCUACUUUGUUGAUCAAUGGUGCUGGUCGAUUUGGAUGCAAUGGUUUUUAUCAGUUAUGUAUGUCUAUGUUUCGGUUCUUUCCUAUCUUUCUUGUUCAAUUACCAAACUAUUAUUACUUUUUAUAUAAUAAAAAAUUGGUAUCUACAGUGAAAUUCAAAAUGUACAAUGUGUCCAACCAUGGGGUAAUUGAUCUAGUACUCAAGGAUUUCAAGAAGUGGACAAAAGGUGGGGACUUGACUUUUGUUUUGUCAUUUUCUUGUAUAUUUACUUAGGUACUCUUAAGGCAGUUCAAUCUCUUCAAAAUUUAAUGAAAAAUUUAGAUUUCAUGCAAUUCAUUUUCCUUUUAUGCAGGGACCACACCCUCUUAGGUUAUUUUUUUCCUGUGUUAAAUUCUAUUGACACAGAAUUAGUAUGAAAGAUAGGUGGUGAGUGAACUCUUUCUUUUUGUAGUAUAUGAUUAUGAAAUUACAUGGGGCCUUGAGGCCUUGUAGUAGGAACCUCAAAUUAUGUAUCCUACUUCUGAUCCAUGAGGAAGACAUCGCAUACCCUCACCUUCCUCAAUUAUCAAAGAGGCAAUCAAUAAUUAAAACUAGCGUUGCCUCCACGUUCCCUUCUGUGCCUAACCUUAUUCUCUUUUGAUCCCAGUUACUAAAGCAGUGAAGAAAAUGCAAUGCCAUUUCAUCAUAUUCAAUGAAAAAUCACAUACUUCGCUUGUUACAAUUAUAUCUUUAGUCUGGAGACUUGAAGAAUAAAUAAAUGUAGUCUAUUGUUAAAUCAACAAUUUGCUUUUGUAUCAGCGAUCAGUUUAUGCAAUUCUUUCUUAUGUCUACGUUUAUGAAACUAUUUUGUAAGUAUGAUAUUUAGUGGUAUUAUAUUUCAUGUUUUUUCUACUAAUAAUUUGCUGUAAGUAUUGAUACUUGAGCAUAGUGACCUCACUGACCUGUGUAGAUGCAAUUCAAGGUAUCUUUCUGAUUCAUAGUUCGUUCUGGAAUUUUUAAUCCAGGAUCCUUGGACAAUUCUGGAAAGAGAUUGACGAAGCUAGAUCUUGGGCUGAGUUCCAUUGGAAUAUCAAUUGCUCAAUUUCUUUCACUGGAAGUUAACUCAACUCAAGACAUAAAAAACUUUCUACGUAAGUAUUUGAAAUUUGAAUAAGAUGUCAUUAUUAUACUUCCUGUUUGUGUGUCCUCUUUAUAUCUCAUUAGUUUUUCUUCUUUUUUUGUUUCUUUCAGUUUCUAUAUUCUCUUGAAGGAUAAGAUAAUGAAUUUUUGAACAUUAGUCUCUUUUCAUUUUAUCGAUGAAAAGUUAUGUUUCUUUUUUUUAAAAAAAAAAACCAUUCUGACAAAAAUAAUCUCACAAAAUAAAAGCACAAGCCCCACUAAAAAUAGGGUUUCCAACUGGAUAAACUAUUGGCAAGAGAGUAAUUGUAAAAAAUCUUUGACUGAAGCUCAAAGAAAAACGUGAAACCUCAUCAAAGACUUCAUUGGGUCCCUCUCCACACCCCGAAGAACUCUAGUAUUCCUCUUCACCCAAAGAUCUCACAACCUCCACGAAACCAAGAAAAUGACAUUUCUCUUUGAAACGCGAAUAGAGGAGGAACUCCCUGUUCAUCAAUCAAAUAUCUGUCUGAGGAUCAAGCAAAAGAUCAAACUCCUGCAAUAAUUAUUUUUUCAUUUUUUUCUCAAUGAAAACAGUUGUUAACUAAUAACAACAGCAGCAGCAGCAACUACUUACUUUCACAUCUUUCAAGUAUAAUAUUUUCAGCUCCUUUUGGAGAUCAGCCCGACAUCUUUCAAGAUGUUGAUUUAUUAACAUCGUUCAAGCAACUUUUAUUAUUUUCUUAUUCAGGUGUGGAGAAACUGCAGCUACUUGUGAUUGUUUCU